RNAcentral lists this long non-coding RNA (1280 nucleotides) under Sinocyclocheilus grahami. Its description in RNAcentral is "lncRNA (ENSSGRG00000010053.1)". Lineage: Eukaryota; Metazoa; Chordata; Actinopteri; Cypriniformes; Cyprinidae. The record is from RNAcentral.
GUCCUUCGUGAGAGAACAGAUUUGCUAAACGACCUAGUCUGGUUGAGUUUGGUAUUUACCGAGCAAACCAGCUCCCAUCAAUACUGAAAGUAAAAGCACGCAGUGAAGGUGUAGCCAGUUUUGGUGUUUGCCAGACAAUGCCUGAGCCUGUGUAAUCUGAGGACACGUCGAGCGCUUAUUACAGUAAAAAGCUUAUUUUUGCUUCACAACUUUAAUGUAAUGGAUUAAUAAUCUUCAGUAAACAUGGAAUAUCUCAUUGAAACAGGUAAUUUACAAAGAUAUUUCAAUUUAUUAGACCGUUUUAUAUUUGUUAUGCGUCAUAAAACUUAUUUUACGUAGAUGGUGCAAAACUAAAACUAUCAUUUGAAUAUUCAGACAAAUGUUUUUAUAUCAGUAACAGGCUUUUCUUCUCGAGUUGGUUUAUUUUUUCUCAGAAAGGGCUCGCGCUCCACAGCACUGUGCGCGUCCACGCAUUAAGCGGUUAUUAAUAGCCUACUACAAGAUUUCCCUGUGGCAUAUUUAUGUCUUGAAUAAAAAUAAUGCAAUAUAAUGUGUCACUGUGUUACAACAGAUGCUGAAUCGCAAGAUAUUGUCCCAGACCCAAUGUCUGAACUUUUACCUGGUGAGUAGCCUAAUAGAUGCGCAGUACUUGUUUUAACGUGGUAAACAAAUGUAGCACUGCGUUUGGCAUUUGAGUUUUCAAAUGAGAGAUUUACCUUUUGUUACUAUUUUCACAGACAAUGUCAUCUCAGAAUAUCUCGACUCACUUGAGUUUUUUGAAGAAGAUUUCGGUCAGUUUCACUCAUUGCCGUAUUUUUUGCAUAACAAUAUCAUCUAAAUGUCAUGAAGGCUGUAAAUCAUGUCCUUUUGUCUUGGCAGAUCCCAAAUUCUUUGAUAACUUUUCAGCAGUCGACACAGACACAACCUGCACGCCAAUACCAGAAGCUGCUUCUUUCCCAGAUGAAGUGCAAAGCAGAAAGCGAAAAGCAACAGCGUGGCCUAAAAGUCCCUCAAACGGAAGGCCGCCCAACAUUACCCCUGAGAGUAGCUUUCUUCUGAGUUCAAACCCAUUCCAGCAUGUAUUGCGCAUUCCCUUGAGCCCCCCUCUUCUGCCCUCUAGUGGAGGUUCACCACUACAAUUCAUCCAGACCAUCGGCCCUUAUACAGCGCCUCUAAUUGGCACUGUGGUUCCAACAGGGCCUACAUACGUGAUUGGUGAGUCCACUGUAAAAGCAUCAUUAAACAGCUGCAUGUGCCUGCAUGCCUGCAUGUUAUUUUAA